This 342-nucleotide ribosomal RNA is filed under the name Riopa metamorphosa. Its description in RNAcentral is "partial large subunit ribosomal RNA". It matches the Rfam family "Eukaryotic large subunit ribosomal RNA", at positions 322 to 653 of the family's 3401-position model. Lineage: Eukaryota; Fungi; Basidiomycota; Agaricomycetes; Polyporales; Phanerochaetaceae. The record is from RNAcentral.
AUUGGCGAGAGACCGAUAGCGAACAAGUACCGUGAGGGAAAGAUGAAAAGCACUUUGGAAAGAGAGUUAAACAGUACGUGAAAUUGCUGAAAGGGAAACGCUUAAAGUCAGUCGCGUUUGCUAGAACUCAGCCUUGCCUCGGCUUGGUGCAUUUUCUAGUGAACGGGCCAGCAUCACUUUUGGCUGCGGGAAAAAGGUCAGAGGAAUGUGGCACCUUCGGGUGUGUUAUAACCUCUGGCUGUAUACCGUGGCUGGGAGUGAGGAACUCAGCACGCCUUCAUGGCGGGGCUUCGGCCACCUUCGUGCUUAGGAUGCUGGCGUAAUGGCUUUAAACGACCCGUC